UCUAGCAUAUCAAUAAGCGGAGGAAAAGAAACUAACAAGGAUUCCCCUAGUAACUGCGAGUGAAGCGGGAAAAGCUCAAAUUUAAAAUCUGGCGGUCUUUGGCCGUCCGAGUUGUAGUCUGGAGAAGUGCUUUCCGCGCUGGACCGUGUAUAAGUCUCUUGGAACAGAGCGUCAUAGAGGGUGAGAAUCCCGUCUUUGACACGGACUACCAGUGCUUUGUGAUGCGCUCUCAAAGAGUCGAGUUGUUUGGGAAUGCAGCUCAAAAUGGGUGGUGAAUUCCAUCUAAAGCUAAAUAUUGGCGAGAGACCGAUAGCGAACAAGUACCGUGAGGGAAAGAUGAAAAGCACUUUGGAAAGAGAGUUAAACAGUACGUGAAAUUGCUGAAAGGGAAACGCUUGAAGUCAGUCGCGUCUGCCGGAACUCAGCCUUCCUUUUGGUUGGUGCACUUUCUGGUAGACGGGCCAGCAUCGAUUUUGACCGUAGGAUAAGGGCUGGAGAAAUGUGGCACCUUCGGGUGUGUUAUAGUCUUCAGUCGCAUACUACGGUUGGGAUCGAGGACCGCAGCGCGCCGCAAGGCAGGGGUUCGCCCACUUUCGCGCUUAGGAUGCUGGCAUAAUGGCUUUAAACGACCCGUCUUGAAACACGGACCAAGGAGUCUAACAAACCUGCGAGUGUUUGGGUGGAAAACCCGAGCGCGUAAUGAAAGUGAAAGUUGAGACCUCUGUCGUGGAGGGCAUCGACGCCCGGACCUGACGUUCUCUGACGGAUCCGCGGUAGAGCAUGUUUGUUGGGACCCGAAAGAUGGUGAACUAUGCCUGAAUAGGGUGAAGCCAGAGGAAACUCUGGUGGAGGCUCGUAGCGAUUCUGACGUGCAAAUCGAUCGUCAAAUUUGGGUAUAGGGGCGAAAGACUAAUCGAACAAACAAAGUAACUGGUUCCUGCCGAGUUU
RNAcentral lists this ribosomal RNA (948 nucleotides) under Lentinus squarrosulus. RNAcentral describes it as "LSU rRNA". It matches the Rfam family "Eukaryotic large subunit ribosomal RNA", at positions 33 to 968 of the family's 3401-position model. Lineage: Eukaryota; Fungi; Basidiomycota; Agaricomycetes; Polyporales; Polyporaceae. The record is from RNAcentral.